GUGAAAACAAGGACCUUGAGGUUUUGCUAGAAGAGAGCUGACACCUACAGGGAAAAUUGCUAAGAUUGAUAACUGAGAAAAGCGUAUGAUAAAUAGGAGAUAAACAGAGCAGUUGUUCAUCUGACAUGCCUUGUAGACCUUGCACAGAGAGCCUCAUGCAAAGAUUGCGCUCUGCAUGUUUAAUAGCCAUGUCCAUUGCACCAUUGAAGUCAACAAGAGCUAAGAUCAGAGGGAACAUGGAGAGUCCAUCACUGUGGAAUCCUGGCACUUUCCUGAUCUCCACAGCAGGCACAUCUCACCAGCAAGAGCUCUCGCCACCUCCUUGCCUCCGUCCGAAGCACAAUGAUCCGCAGAAGAGAGGUUGGGUGAACCCGAGUGGUCGUGCCUUACCUGCAGAGAUACUCAAUGUCUUCAGCAGCCUGAUCUGGGUCACCUUGCUAUGAAACACUGUCUUAAAUCAUGGACUGUACAGCUUCCUGAGAAGCAGCUACCAUCAUGGGAAUAGACCAAACAGGUUAAUCUCAUCUUUUUUUAAGGAACUUCAUGGUUUUGAACUUAGUGGGGGUGGGAAAAUAUCAGCUGUUAGGGAUAGAUGGAUUAUCUCAUCAUUGAAUUUCUUCCUCUCAGGGAGGAAGGGUAGAGGUUACAAAUGCUGCAGUCUGCUUUGCUCUGUAAAAGGGAUCUUGUAUGUACAGUAUUUUUAUAUCUUUGCAUUCCCACCUGUCUGUUUUUAAAUCCACUUUCAUAACAUACAUAGGAAAAAAAGGAUUUUGUUUUGCAAUGCUAGACCUUU
This 793-nucleotide long non-coding RNA is filed under the name Gallus gallus (chicken). RNAcentral describes it as "long non-coding RNA NONGGAT009273". The record is from RNAcentral. Lineage: Eukaryota; Metazoa; Chordata; Aves; Galliformes; Phasianidae.